GGAGGCUAUAUACAGGGGUACCGGUACAGAGUCAAUGUGGAGGCUAUAUACAGGGGGUACCAGUACAGAGUCAAUGUGGAGGCUAUAUACAGGGGUACCAGUACAGAGUCAAUGUGGAGGCUAUAUACAGGGGGUACCGGUACAGAGUCAAUGUGGAGGCUAUAUACAGGGGGUACCAGUACAGAGUCAAUGUGGAGGCUAUAUACAGGGGGUACCAGUACAGAGUCAAUGUGGAGACUAUAUACAGGGGGUACCGGUACUGAGUCAAUGUGGAGGAUAUAUACAGGGGGUACCGGUACAGAGUCAAUGUGGAGGUUAUAUACAGGGGGUACAGGUACAGAGUCAAUGUGGAGGUUAUAUACAGGGGGUACCGGUACAGAGGCAAUGUGGAGGCUAUAUACAGGGGGUACCGGUACAGAGUCAAUGUGGAGGUUAUAUACAGGGGGUACAGGUACAGAGUCAAUGUGGAGGCUAUAUACAGGGGGUACCGGUACAGAGUCAAUGUGGAGGUUAUAUACAGGGGGUACCAGUACAGAGUCAAUGUGGAGGCUAUAUACAGGGGGUACCGGUACAGAGUCAAUGUGGAGGUUAUAUACAGGGGGUACCAGUACAGAGUCAAUGUGGAGGUUAUAUACAGGGGGUACCGGUAUAGAGGCAAUGUGGAGGGUAUAUACAGGGGGUACCGGUAUAGAGGCAAUGUGGAGGUUAUAUACAGGGGGUACCAGUACAGAGUCAAUGUGGAGGAUAUAUACAGGGG
Molecule: long non-coding RNA, 757 nt
Organism: Oncorhynchus tshawytscha (Chinook salmon)
Lineage: Eukaryota; Metazoa; Chordata; Actinopteri; Salmoniformes; Salmonidae
Source: Ensembl